UCACCCAUUUGGAUUGAAGGACUCAGCGUCCAACCCGUUGGCAAGGUGUUUUUCACUUCUUUUAACACUAACUCUACUUGCUUAGGCGGAAAAAGCGUAGCUGGUAGCCUUUCUGUCGCCAUUGUCGCUAGUCCAACGGCGAAAUUGGUCACCGAUUCGUCUAUCCAAGCGAGGGAUUUCUGAACGUGUCGAAAGACAUUAUCGAUUUUCUCGGUGGCUGACGCUUGCCGCUCCAUCUCUUGCUGAAAACUUCCAACUUGUUGGCUGACCUUCCAUGCUUCGGCUUCGACGUGGUUAAAGGCGACCCGUAACUCUCCGAUGGCUUUUGCUGCAGCCUGAGUUUCCCACAAGGUCUUCCUGCGUGGCUACUCCAAACAGCCAGUUUAGGAUCUUUCCUCCGCCAUCAGCUAUCGCUCUCUUCCUUCUUGGAUCAUUUAUUCCAACGGCCUCCUUCAACUCAUUAAGUCGUAGAUGGCUUUCACGCAGUUUUGCUAUUUCUACCUGUGUGCGAACAUUCAGCUGCCGCCGAAAACGUUCUUUGAAUUUGUCUUCCAAGGCGUCGUUCCGCGUGUCGAAGGUGAAGUCGGAGACAACUAUCCAUUCUGAGUCUGAGAAGGCUACAUCUUUUUCGGGUUUGAAGAUUACUCCUUGGUAGGCCACGAUCUCUUUUGCCGAUAUUUUCAACGGUGCGUUUAGUGUCAAAAACAAAAGGAAAAAUGGUAGUGCUAGUAUGAAUUGCUUCCUCGGUAUCCUUCCUCGGGCCGAUCGUCUUAAACCAGUCCCAUCCGGGGUUGCUGUUGGUAUUCCUGGU
This is a long non-coding RNA of Daphnia carinata, 811 nucleotides long. RefSeq lists it as uncharacterized. Lineage: Eukaryota; Metazoa; Arthropoda; Branchiopoda; Diplostraca; Daphniidae. The record is from RefSeq and is a predicted model, not a curated record. The transcript has 3 exons.